AUGAUGCGACUCGUACUGCCUGAUGGUGCUGCUCCUGCUGCAGUGCUGCUUCUUCUGUCGUUGGCAGCAUGGGCGAGCAGUGGUUGGAGUUGUUCAUGGCGAGAACGCGAAGGCUUGUCCGAAACUGGCACUGCUAGUGGCGAUCCGAUCAUUUUGAGUGAUACGUUCGUUGCUACUAGGAGUAGUACUGAAUCGGACAAAGCAAAGAUUGAUGAGAACCUUGUGUACGCGUGUGUGUGUUGCCUUCCGGCCGGCUGCAUGAUCAAUCAGCCGGCUCUAUUGUGCAUGCAUAUGUUAAUUGAUUGGGAUAGAUAA
This 315-nucleotide ribosomal RNA is filed under the name Triticum aestivum (bread wheat). RNAcentral describes it as "partial small subunit ribosomal RNA". Lineage: Eukaryota; Viridiplantae; Streptophyta; Magnoliopsida; Poales; Poaceae. The record is from RNAcentral.